GAAGUUCGCUAGGCAGCCGCUGUGAGCACAAGUUCAUGGAGGAAAGUCCGGGCCCCAUAGAGCAGGAUGCCGGCUAACGGCCGGGCGCAGCAAGCCUCGCAAGAGGCCCAAGGCGACGAACAGGGCAACAGAAAACAUACCGCCGAUGGCUCCGCAAGGAGAUCAGGUAAGGGCGAACCGGUGGGGUAAGAGCCCACCGCGGACGUGGCGACACGGACGGCACGGUAACCUCCAUCCGGGGCAAGGCCAAAUAGGGGGGCGAUAGCGUUGCUCGCGCUGCUCCCGGGUAGGCUGCUAGAGCCUGCCGGUAACGGCAGGCCCAGAGGAAUGGCUGCCCACGACAGAACCCGGCUUAUCGGCGAACUUCCCAC
This 371-nucleotide RNase P RNA is filed under the name Denitratisoma oestradiolicum. RNAcentral describes it as "Bacterial RNase P class A". It matches the Rfam family "Bacterial RNase P class A". From Rfam's summary of the family: Ribonuclease P (RNase P) is a ubiquitous endoribonuclease, found in archaea, bacteria and eukarya as well as chloroplasts and mitochondria. Its best characterised activity is the generation of mature 5'-ends of tRNAs by cleaving the 5'-leader elements of precursor-tRNAs. Cellular RNase Ps are ribonucleoproteins. Lineage: Bacteria; Pseudomonadati; Pseudomonadota; Betaproteobacteria; Nitrosomonadales; Sterolibacteriaceae. The record is from Rfam by way of RNAcentral.